AGGGACCAGAGUGACAGGUGCUGCAUGGCUGUCGUCAGCUCGUGUCGUGAGAUGUCGGGUUAAGUCCCGCAACGAGCGCAACCCUUGUUCUUAGUUACCAGCGGGUAAUGCCGGGGACUCUAAGGAGACUGCCUGCGAUGAGCGGGAGGAAGGUGGGGAUGACGUCAAGUCCGCAUGGCCCUUAUGCCCUGGGCUGCACACGUGCUACAAUGGUCGGUACAACGGGCAGCGAAAUCGCGAGAUGGAGCAAAUCCCUAAAAGCCGGCCCCAGUUCGGAUUGGAGUCUGCAACUCGNCUCCAUGAAUGCAGGAAUCGCUAGUAAUCGCGGAUCAGAAUGCCGCGGUGAAUACGUUCCCGGGCCUUGUACACACUGCCCGUCAAGCCAUGAAAGCCGGUAG
This 398-nucleotide ribosomal RNA is filed under the name uncultured bacterium. RNAcentral's name for it is "bacterial SSU rRNA". It matches the Rfam family "Bacterial small subunit ribosomal RNA", at positions 1021 to 1417 of the family's 1533-position model. The record is from RNAcentral.